This 96-nucleotide transfer RNA is filed under the name Xylaria telfairii. RNAcentral describes it as "tRNA-Leu". It matches the Rfam family "tRNA". From Rfam's summary of the family: Transfer RNA (tRNA) molecules are approximately 80 nucleotides in length. RNAcentral also lists the same sequence under 1 other name. Lineage: Eukaryota; Fungi; Ascomycota; Sordariomycetes; Xylariales; Xylariaceae. The record is from RNAcentral.
GGUGAGAUGGCCGAGUGGUUAUGGCGCUGCGUUCAGGAAAUCUGAACAAAUUUCGCAGUGGAGCAAUCCGCGUGGGUUCGAGUCCCACUCUCAUCA